This 21-nucleotide microRNA is filed under the name Chiloscyllium plagiosum (whitespotted bambooshark). Its description in RNAcentral is "microRNA PC-3p-401072_2". The record is from RNAcentral. Lineage: Eukaryota; Metazoa; Chordata; Chondrichthyes; Orectolobiformes; Hemiscylliidae.
GAGCUUUACUCUGUAUCUGAC